This 1262-nucleotide long non-coding RNA is filed under the name Marmota monax (woodchuck). Lineage: Eukaryota; Metazoa; Chordata; Mammalia; Rodentia; Sciuridae. The record is from RNAcentral.
GGAGAGGAAGCAAGAGCCAGUGAACUAAAAAUAGAUCAAUAGAAAUUAUCCAAUCUGAAGAACAUAUGAAGGUGAGGAAAAGAUCAUAAAAAGGUGAACAAAGCCUCAGGGUAUAAGAGGUAUAAUUAGUGUAACCAGAAGAAACAAGAAUAUGAAGUUGGAAAAAUACUUGGAGAAAUGAACUAAAUUUUCCAAUUUUGUUAAGACAAUUUUAUAACUUCAAGAAGCUGAGCAACCCCAGUCAAGAUUGAAUAUAAAGAAAACUUCAUCUCAAUUCAUCAUAGUCACAUUGUUUCAAGCUGAAAAUAUAGAGAAAAUUAAAAAAGAAUUAGAGAAAAAAUGAAUUAUAGACUUACAUCAGAGAACAGGGAUUCUAAUGAUACCUCACCUUUCAUCAGAAAUAAUGGAGCAUAGAGGACAAAAAACUUUUAACUCUGAAAUCUGUAUCCAGUGAAAAUAUUUUUUUUACAUCCUAUGAUAGGAAUUGUACCCAUACCAUGGAUGCUCUACCACUGACCUACAUUUGCAUUCCUUUUUAUAUUUUUAUUUUGAGGUAGGGUUUCACCAAGUUGCCCAGGCUGACCUCGAAUUUGCAAACCUUCUGCCUCAGCCUGCCAGGUAGCUGAGAUUGUGGGUGUGCACCGCUGCACCUGGCUCCAAUGAAAAUAUUCUUUAAAAAUAGAGAAAUAACUCUUCCAGAUAAAAGAAAACUUAGAUAAUUAACAGCAUACCUGAACUACAAGAAAUGUUAAGAAAAGUACUACAAAAUGAAGAGAAAAAUGGCUUGGAUUCCAGCUCUUUGGAAGUGAAUGAAGAACACAAGAAAUAGUAAAUAUAUCGGUAAAUAUUUCUUUACAAUACAUAUGGCUGUGCAAAGAAAAAAAUGUAACAAUAUUAUGAGGCUUACAUAUGUAGAUGUAAUAUUACUACUCUGUUACAUAUAACAGCUAUAGCAUAAAGGGCAGGGAUAAGACUUAAAAAGUUCAGAAUAUAUGUCAUAAUCUUUAGAAUAGAGCUUCUCAAGCUUUUUGGUCCUGAUACUCUAUUAUACUCCUAAAAAUUAUUAAGAAUCCAAAAAUCCAUUUUUAUGUACAUUAUAUCAAAUACCUCAAACAUAUUAGAAAUAAGAAUUGAGAAAUUAUAAAAAAUGUUCAUUUAAUUCAAAAAAUAGACCCAUUACAUGUUAAUAUAAAUAGCAAAAAAAAAAAGUUUGUGUGUAGUGCUGGGGAUUGAACCCAAGGCCUUGUGCAUGCAAGGCAAGU